RNAcentral lists this ribosomal RNA (253 nucleotides) under uncultured bacterium. RNAcentral describes it as "partial 16S ribosomal RNA". It matches the Rfam family "Bacterial small subunit ribosomal RNA", at positions 524 to 776 of the family's 1533-position model. The record is from RNAcentral.
UACGUAGGGGGCAAGCGUUGUCCGGAAUCAUUGGGCGUAAAGAGCGCGUAGGCGGUCCGGUAAGUCGGUUGUGAAAACUGGGGGCUCAACCCUCAGAGGCCGACCGAUACUGCUGGGCUAGAGUCCGGAAGAGGCGAGUGGAAUUCCUGGUGUAGCGGUGAAAUGCGCAGAUAUCAGGAGGAACACCGGUGGCGAAGGCGGGUCUCUGGGCCGUAACUGACGCUGAGGAGCGAAAGCAUGGGGAGCGAACAGG